UUGCUUUGUGAUAACAAGCAAGAGAGCCUCUCUUUUUUUGUGUGUGUGGGUGGCGGUACCAUUGGUCGUUUUUAAGUGAAUUUAUGGCGGGUUUUCAAGGCAGACAGGAAGGAGAUAUGGGUUUCUUAGGAGCUUGGUAGCUUGCUCCCAUGGCCUUAUCAUUCUCUAGAAGGGAUGGGAAAUGCCAACCAAUGAGGAGGAAAAGCCCUUGGGGGAGUAGGGUUCAAGUGUGGGAGGAUAGCAACAAGCAUAGGUUCACAGAAUCCAAAGGAACCGAUUCUCUCUCGAUCUAUUACACCGUUGAUACCUAUGGUGUCUCGGUAGCUGUACUUUUUUUUUUUUUCCUUCUGUUUUUUGAUUUUUGUUUCUUUCAACUUUUGAAGGCAGAAAGUGAGGGAACACUCAACUAAAUAUGGGUCAUGUGCCAGAUUUCUGCAAUGGAAUUGGAUUUUGGAAGUCGGACUCAGUUAGUAGGUCAUGGGUCACGGAGGUCAAUUGCAAGUCUUUCAAGUCAUGGGUCGCCCAGCACCUCAUAAUUAUGAUAUGACUAAUUAGAUUUGCCUAAAUUCUUAUCCAAAAAUAUGGUAAAGUUUCUAUUUACUUGUAUACCUUUAUAAAAAUUUCUAUUUGCACGCCUAUCCAUUAAGAAUAUUUUAGACAUUUUAAUUUAAAACUGUUAAUUUUUUAACGAUGUUAGAUGGCAUGGGUACAUAUGCAAAAAUAAGAAUAAAAAAAGGUAGAAUAGCAAAAUAAAUAUUUUAUGAAGGUAUA
RNAcentral lists this long non-coding RNA (771 nucleotides) under Phoenix dactylifera (date palm). RNAcentral's name for it is "long non-coding RNA (PDAC_LNC002346)". The record is from RNAcentral. Lineage: Eukaryota; Viridiplantae; Streptophyta; Magnoliopsida; Arecales; Arecaceae.